Molecule: long non-coding RNA, 1446 nt
Organism: Salarias fasciatus (jewelled blenny)
Lineage: Eukaryota; Metazoa; Chordata; Actinopteri; Blenniiformes; Blenniidae
Exons: 3
Source: RefSeq, a predicted model, not a curated record
AAUGCAGAGGAGGAGUUCUCAGAGGGCUCAUCUUUCUCCGACUGGUCACCAUCACCAGCAUGUGCAUCCCAAGGGUCAUCGUCAGGUUCUGACUCAACACUGAUAUUGGAAUCUACCAAAGCUCGGAAAAGACAGCUUGUUGAGGGACCCCUGGAUAGCAACGUUGCAAGAUAUGUACGUUAACCCCUGAUAUUAACCCUGAUGUCAGUUAGACUAAUGUCACACUUGACAUUGAAAUUUCACAAUAAUUUUAUUAGUACUGCAGCUUCGGCAGGCAGCCUCACAUAUUGUACCUGCAAUGUCAAUGUCAUGCAAUUGUCAUUUCAAAAUGUCAGAGUUGCUCUGUAUUCAAAGCCUGGUGGAAAGGAAAUAUUCCAAGAGUAUGAGAAAACAAAUGCCAUCAGUGAUGCUACAAGAAGAAAGAUGGCAAACAUUCUUGUGGCAGAUAUGGUGAGAGCCACAGGAGGGUCCCUCCAGUGAAUGUGCGGAACCUCUAUGCACUUGGGAUGACAACACUGUUCCCUAAAUUGAAGGACCCGGAUUCCAAAAAUGGUUAUGAACAUUUCUAUGAUCAACAGAGUGGUUCUGGCUACCUAGCAUGGAGGCUGAAAACUGUUCCCUGACCCAUUUGCUGACUCCUUUAUACCCCACAGGAACCUGCAUGUUGCUUCAAACAGAAGAAUAGAAAAGGUUGUUAUUAUUCGUUUUUACAUUUACACCAAGGGUUUCGGCAGCGAGGCUGCACAGUCCGGCCAUCGCGAGAAGACAUCCCAGCAAUUUGACAGGCAAUUAGAUGUGAGAGAGAAAAAGUACCUGCAUCUGUACAGCGUUGCGUGUUGCUGUCGCCUGCCGCUGCUGUUUAUCGUGCACCACGUGUUGAGUUUUCGUCCUGUUCCGAUGACUUUCACGCUCUCCCCCCAUCCCCCCUCCCGCCAUUCAGUGUUGGAAUUACCGCGCGACCACCUUGCACAGCCUACGCAACAUGGCACUGAGAGAGAUGAAGGAAGGUGACUUGCUAUUUUUAAAAGAAAGGAAAAAAAAAUACUGUCAGAAACUGUGGCGUUCCCAAACGCCAGUGUCUCGUUAAAACGCUGUAAAUUAGCACAACACUUUCAAAGACAAUGUAGGCCUAUAUAAAAUGAGCCCUGCACAUGUCUGAUGUUGUCAUACAACACUCAUAUUUUGUAACGGAGGUAACCUGGUUGGGGUUAGGGCUAGUCCCGGAAUUAUCUUCCGUUCAUGUCCGGUGUGUCGGCCAGAACACCACUUAUGGCCGCGUCUGGGGUGAGGAGUGAUGAAGAGGGAGGCAGGUUGCAGGUGAACGAAGGCUUAUACUCACAGUUCAGCUGGCAUACAAACUGUACUCGUGAGCGUGGAUGUGUGGGUGUGUGAGUGUGUGGUUUCCUAAACAAAGGAAAGAAUAAACAAUUACCAAAAUGACAUUGA